This 253-nucleotide ribosomal RNA is filed under the name uncultured bacterium. Its description in RNAcentral is "partial 16S ribosomal RNA". It matches the Rfam family "Bacterial small subunit ribosomal RNA", at positions 524 to 776 of the family's 1533-position model. The record is from RNAcentral.
UACGUAGGGCGCAAGCGUUGUCCGGAAUUAUUGGGCGUAAAGAGCUCGUAGGCGGCUUGUCACGUCGGAUGUGAAAGCCCGGGGCUUAACCCCGGGUCUGCAUUCGAUACGGGCAGGCUAGAGUUCGGUAGGGGAGAUCGGAAUUCCUGGUGUAGCGGUGAAAUGCGCAGAUAUCAGUCGGAACACCGGUGGCGAAGGCGGCUUCUUGGGCCGUUCCUGACGCUGAGGCGCGAAAGCUGGGGGAGCGAACGGG